GAUGAACGCUAGCGGCAGGCUUAACACAUGCAAGUCGAGGGGUAUAUGUCUUCGGAUAUAGAGACCGGCGCACGGGUGCGUAACGCGUAUGCAAUCUACCUUUUACAGGGGGAUAGCCCAGAGAAAUUUGGAUUAAUACCCCAUAGUAUAGUGAGUUGGCAUCAACACACUAUUAAAGUCACAACGGUAAAAGAUGAGCA
RNAcentral lists this ribosomal RNA (200 nucleotides) under uncultured bacterium. RNAcentral describes it as "partial 16S ribosomal RNA". It matches the Rfam family "Bacterial small subunit ribosomal RNA", at positions 28 to 231 of the family's 1533-position model. The record is from RNAcentral.